ACGAAAUGGAAACGGUACGAUAAAACAGACCCGCGAGCACACUGACAUGUUUGUUCACGCAACAUAUUCAUACAACCUUCAUUGCCGAUAUUUCCACGGGUUCAGUCACAUCCCUGAGAACUUGCAGGUGGAGCUCCAGUGUUUGAUCCCCCUGAGUGCGGAGAGUUCAAAGGAAACAUGUUUGUUUCCGCGGCACCCAGCCCUUGUGAGCUUGCAGGAGGAGCUCCAGUGUUUGAUCCCCCUCCACUCCGAUGAUGCCCAAACCACUGAUCUACGUCUGACAAAUUUAUAGGCUUCAUGCGGGUUCCAGAGGUUGGUGUGCUCCGGCCUUGCCCUUGCCGCUGGAAUGGUUGGAAGACAGGUCGUCGUGGCCCUAUCUCCGCUGGCCUCAACCAGUACAGACCCUGGCUUCCAGAGGUUGGUGUGCUCCGGCCUUGCCCUUGCUGCUGGAAUGGUUGGAAGACAGGUCGUUGUGGCCCUAUCUCCGCUGGCCUCAACCGGUUCAGACCUUGGCUUGCCUGCUUGGAACUAUUAGUUCCAUAUGGUGUGCGUCCUCUACCACCCAUAGGUUGAAAUUGACGUGGUUCACCUCCCGAACAAUUUGAGUUCAGCCCA
This 615-nucleotide long non-coding RNA is filed under the name Malus domestica (apple). RNAcentral's name for it is "long non-coding RNA (MDOM_LNC007106)". The record is from RNAcentral. Lineage: Eukaryota; Viridiplantae; Streptophyta; Magnoliopsida; Rosales; Rosaceae.